This 3310-nucleotide unclassified non-coding RNA is filed under the name Hevea brasiliensis (rubber tree). Lineage: Eukaryota; Viridiplantae; Streptophyta; Magnoliopsida; Malpighiales; Euphorbiaceae. The record is from RNAcentral.
GGACAUUAUAUAUUUCAAUAGAUUUAAAAAAAAUGCAAUAAUAAGUCCUCCAAUUCAACCAAUGCCCACUGAAAUCAUGCAAUAAUCAAGAAAACAUUGAUCUCAUACGAAAAUUAUUAGUUUUGAAGUCAUGCAUCCGCCUAAAAUGCAAAAUGAAAUGAAAUAGAUACAACACACCGUCUAUUAACACACUGAAAUAUCAACAGAAAAGAAAAUAAAGCAUGGAAAUUAACCUGCCUACCAGUGACAUCACUACAACUAUAUGCAGUGUAUAAUAAUUGUUUGUCUACUUAGAUUUCUUGCCCAUUAUUCUCUGGGAAAACUUUUUGACAAGACUCUAAUCUGAGCUAUUAUGAACUUCCAAGCCAAAUCCUCUUCAAGUUUCACGAGCUUCUCAAUCUACCGGAGCACCAACAUGCUCUGUUUCUGCAUCAAAAGCAAAUUUAUAGAGCAUGUUAACACAUGAUUCAAUCCAAAUGAUUUCUUUUUUGCCAUAGAAAAAUAACAAUAGCCACAAAUCUUACUAUAUAAAAAAGGUUGGAGCAAAUUAAUUCAUAGCACAUGAUACAUUGCAAAAGAACGCGUGAUCUGGAAAAACACAAUAUGAGAAGAUAAUGCAAAGAUCUCAAAACAAAAUACGAUUUUGAAGCAAAUUUAAGCAAUAACAAAUAGAAAUUCUAAGAAAAAAAGAAUCUACAGGUGGACAAAUCUAUUUCCAAAAUAAAUCAGCGUUCAGCAAGAACCAAAUGCAUGAGUAAGAUCACAAUAGCACCUAAGCUACAAGCCAAUUCUGCAAUUUCAUUUUGGCAGUUCGUUGCAACCAUGACCAAUCACAGGGAAGACAAAAAAAAUAUACAAAAUAAAAAAGCCUGUGGCAGGCAGUCCACUUGAACAGCAAAAGGAGAAUAACUAAGAUAAGGAAACCCCAAUCAACCAAUUCAAGUACUUUAACUGUCUUUGAGCCAAAAAAAAAGGUACUUGAAUUUUCACAUACUCUCAUCCUUAUAAAUAAUACAAAAACCAAUCAAGUCAUGCAAAAAUGAAAGGCUGGCCUUUGAUGCAUGUAAAUUGGUGGAAUAUUCCUACCCUGAAAUUAUCUAUUGGAGCCUAUAAAAACAUCAAAUAAACCACAGCAACUCAUCCAGGAGGUUCUCUGCGAUACUUGUGGAGCUGGAGGUACGAGAGGCUGGGUUUCAGUAUACUCAGAAGUCUCAGUAUCUUUGGCCUUAUCUGCAUCAUUACUAGUUUCAGAAGUAUAAGCACCUGAUGAUGUCAAUGUCCUAGACUCAUUUCCAACUACAGUAACACUUAAAAUCCCAGAGUCUUUGAUGUUUUCUGCAAACAUGCUAGUUUCAGCACUAUGAGCACCUGACAAAGGCAAUGCCUUAUCCUCAUUACCAUUCACAGUAGAACUAACCAUAUUUGUUGAUGACCCAACAUUUUCAUCCAAUAAGGGGAAAAGAUUAUCCUUAUUUUUCUCUGGUACCAAACGAGAUAAAACAUCAUUGGAUUCCCGCAGCAAUUUUUCUUCAUUUUCCUUCAACCCAGGUUCAACAACAUCCAGAACCUCUGAAUUCUCAACUUCAGCACCUUCCAUCACAUGCUUUGCCACUUCAGACAUAGGCACCACAGGCGCAACCACGUCAACACUAGGGGCAGUUUCUGUAAAUGAAUUACCAUUUGCUUUAUUAAGUGGUUUUUCAAGACCCAAAGCCUGUGUCACCUCUUCAGUAAAUACCUUUUGCACAUUAUCUGAAGCUGAAUUAAGGGCUUCCUCCUUCCAUUUCUUGUCCAAAACUUGAGGCUCAUCAUCAGAACUACUACUGCUAGAGCUUUUGUCAUAUCCAUCAUGUGCCUCCUUUGCAGACUGAACAUGCUCCACAUUAACGUCUUUGCUCUCCAUAUACUGCUCAGGGUUCAGUUCUUUCUCAAUUAUAACGAUAGUGUCAUCCCCUACUCCAAUUUUUUGGCUUCCUUCUGCAUCCUCAAUGACUCCAUCAUUGGGCUUGCAUUCAGAGGCUAAGGACGACGAGUUUGUCUUCUCAGAUUCUUGAUUCUCCUCAUUAAAUGGAUGCUGAUCGUUAUGGUGGUCCUGUGAUAAAGGAGAACCAACCUCACCACUAUCGCUCUCCCUCUCGUCCUGGCUUCUCGGAUCUUCACUUCCUAAUAGCAUUUGAUUAAAAACACAAAAAUCUCAAUACAAAAUCUGUAAUGGGAAAAGAGUUUCAACAAACUUCUAAGAAGAAAUUCCAGUUAAUGUCUUGAGAUUUUUAUAUGAGAACUAAGUAAAAGAAUUCCAAGAAAAAGCCACGCAAAACCAUGGCCAUUAACAAAUACUCAAUGCUCCCAAACUAAUCAAUAGGCCAGAGUUGAAAACGCAGUUGUUAACGAUAGUUAAGAUGAUUAAACACGAAUAAUCAGAGUCACAAUCAAGGAAAAAAGGGGGAGGGGGUCAUUACUCAUUUUGCAAGCACCCAAAAAAAAAUGUAAUCAAACCAAGCAAAUCAUGGGACUCAAAAAAUUAUUUUCAAUUCAGAUUCCCAAAAAUCAACAAACACCCAGUAAUCCAACUGAUUAAAACAGCAAAACCAACACAACAUUCCUAAUAGAAUCACCAAAUCAAGGGACAUCAGCAAAGACCCAUUGGUAAAAAUCAGCAAACCAAAGCAAUCCAACUACAAUGAACCAAUCAAACGCACGUAGAACUAGGCUCACUAACAAAUACCCAUUACCUCAGAUUCACAGAACACAAGAAAACAAACGCGUAAAAGAAAAACAAUAGUGCGAAUGAUUAAGUGACAGAAUGGCAAGUAGUGGAUUGCAGCGAUGGGGUUCUUGGUACCAAAAAAGUGUAAAGGCCUUUAAAAUACUACCUCGAGGGCUACUGUCAUCUAAUGAAGAAGAAUUGUUGCUGUUAUUGUUGGCCUGCUGUUCCCUCUUUUUCUUAGCUGCUUUUCUCUUCUUUGCACCUGAUGGCAUGAUUGAUCGUGCCCUUUCUCACUUGUCGCGGGGCAACAACCGAAAAGAAAAAAUAUACCCAGAUCGUGGGGUGUCCCCAAGGCCCUAGACCCCUCUCUCCCUCUUCGUAUUCUCUGUAAAAGCUCAACAAUAGUACAAGUUAACAGGUAGGCCUUACGGGUGGAGAUGAGGAGCGUCUAGUAACAUGGCGUUCAGAAUCUGUUUCCCCAUCUGUCUCUUCCUUGAUUCUAAUUAAGCUUUGUUUUGUUUUUGUUUUUUGUGGGUAUUAUUACAGAGAAGACACACGACAGUGGGUAUAGAAAGGAUUUAAUUUAUUAAUUUUUAUUUGGGC